RNAcentral lists this ribosomal RNA (498 nucleotides) under uncultured bacterium. Its description in RNAcentral is "partial 16S ribosomal RNA". It matches the Rfam family "Bacterial small subunit ribosomal RNA", at positions 29 to 523 of the family's 1533-position model. The record is from RNAcentral.
AUUGAACGCUGGCGGCAUGCUUUACACAUGCAAGUCGAACGGUAACAGGCCGCAAGGUGCUGACGAGUGGCGAACGGGUGAGUAAUGCAUCGGAACGUGCCCAGUCGUGGGGGAUAACGCAGCGAAAGCUGUGCUAAUACCGCAUACGAUCUAUGGAUGAAAGCGGGGGACCGUAAGGCCUCGCGCGAUUGGAGCGGCCGGUGUCAGAUUAGGUAGUUGGUGGGGUAAAGGCCUACCAAGCCGGAGAUCGGUAGCUGGUCUGAGAGGACGACCAGCCACACGGGGACUGAGACACGGCCCAGGCUCCUACGGGAGGCAGCAGUGGGGAAUUUUGGACAAUGGGCGCAAGCCUGAUCCAGCAAUGCCGCGUGCAGGAAGAAGGCCUUCGGGUUGUAAACUGCUUUUGUACGGAACGAAACGGUCUGGGUUAAUACCCUGGGCUAAUGACGGUACCGUAAGAAUAAGCACCGGCUAACUACGUGCCAGCAGCCGCAGUAA